Molecule: non-coding RNA, 481 nt
Organism: Ciona intestinalis (vase tunicate)
Lineage: Eukaryota; Metazoa; Chordata; Ascidiacea; Phlebobranchia; Cionidae
Source: RefSeq, a predicted model, not a curated record
UGUUUUAAUUUUAUAAACAGAUUAGAGUUAAUUCCGCCCCAGAAACUUUAGAACAUGAAACGAAAUGCUGUUUUAGUCGUGUGUGUGUUGCUGGUGGCAUUCCAGUUAGCUGAUUGCUUUUCGAGGAGACGAUUUGACUUUUCUAGACGCCGAAUCUACGUCGCUCGACGUAGAUCUCUCGCUUUCGCUCACCGGAGGCGUUUUGGGGAUACUGCUGAAAACGAAAACAACCCAAUCAAGACGGAUUCCGACGAAACGUCAUACAUUCAUAGCGACCAAGCGGAUGACGAGUUAAUGCAAAUGGCAGAGGAGUAACAAUUCCCAAGUCUGAAUACAAUAAAAGGACUGACCCCAGCACGACCCUGACUUCCCAACUGUUUGAUCAACGUUUAUAUUUACACAUUUACAUGCAUUUUUAUUAAUGUUGGUCAGAUUUUUUUCUUUUUUGUAAUCGGUAAUAAAAAGACUUUUAAAAUGUAAA